Molecule: long non-coding RNA, 1627 nt
Organism: Fukomys damarensis (Damara mole-rat)
Lineage: Eukaryota; Metazoa; Chordata; Mammalia; Rodentia; Bathyergidae
Exons: 3
Source: RefSeq, a predicted model, not a curated record
CCACUGUUUUAUCCUUACUGAUGUAAUUCAACAGCAGUUUCUGAUAGACUAUGAUAUUAGCCAAGUUUUUCAGUAAGAAACCAGGAGUCAUUCAAAAGAAGUUGUGACACUGUGGAUGUAGCACAUCCUUGAGAGAAAGUAGUACUAUUUUCUGUUCAUUUGUAGCUGCUUCACCUGUUAGUUCAAUCUGAUGAGUACAGGGUAGAUUUUUCUACCUCACUCCUCUGGUCCUACUACUCUUCAUCUUAUUUCUUAUUACAUCGAUAUCUUUAUAAUUUCAGAAGGAAACAACUCCCUCCCCAAAACAAAAUUUUUGUUUCCAUACUAAAAUUUUUCCAAUUCCUAUACCCAGAUUCUACCAGUGUUCAUCAUCUUAUAUCAUUGAUUUAUUUUCUCUCAGUUUCCCUGAAGGAAGGAAACAACCAAACCUGACACCUUAUUUCAUUCCUGUUCAUCACUGGUCCUUUCAAGAAUAAAGCUGACCCUCGUUAAAAGUGGCAAAGUCUCACCAUGUUGCUGAAGUGCCCAGGCACGGCUUGAGUUUGUAAACUUCCUGCCUCAGCCUCCCAGAGUGCUGGAAUUACAGUCUGUUGACCCAAAUUGAGCUCACACUGUUCUAAUUGUGGGAAAUGCACUUGAGCAAAGGUCCCAGCUGAGGUGCUCUGAAAUCCACUGCCGGGAGGCCACUGUUCCCAGGGUUGCUUCCAGCCAAUCACAGUGCAGCACGGAUCCUGAGGCAGCACACCUGGUCCUCUGAGGUCCACUUUGGCUUGAGGGCUCCUUGCCAACUUUGUUGAAUCUCCUUUGACUGCACAGUGACCUAAAGCACUUGAGUCCACAUUCUUUCUCCUUCCCUCAGUCUUAGGUACUUUCUUUUUACUGGGACAAAAUACUCAACGCCCACGACUAAAAGGAGAGGUUUGGUUUGGCUCACGGUUGCAAUCCAUGGUGAGAGCUGGCUCCAAGGCAGGAACCUGAUGGCAAGGGGCACGGUGGAGGAAUGAAUGGUCAGUCCCAGUGGGAACACCCAGCUGAACUGAGUCCCUGAGGUUCUGGGUGUGGAAGACCCACGGAGGACUACUGUCAGAAUGCCAUAAAAGGAGAUCCAGAGGGGAGGACUGCAUGAUCCUGACUUCCCAGGAGAAACUGUUGCAGUGCUCUUCCUGACUGACUAUUCUGGAAGAGGAGCUCAGGGCUCUCCCUGUUGCAGUCCUCUUUGGGAGCUCUGGUCUUUACUUUCGUCAUGAGUGUAGCUUCCUAGCUCCAGGCAGAUCCCUCAGCCUUGGAGCAGACUCUCUGGCCUCCAGCACCAGCCCUUGGGCUUUCCACAUGGACCCUCUGGUCUUCCUUCGUGGAUUCCUCGGCCUCCUGAUGGAACUUGCAUGGGACAUCGCCAUGGGCUCCAGGCCUUGGGCUGGACUUGUGUGGGACAUUGCUGAGGGAUCUAGGCCCUUGGCUGGAUUCUUUGAGUCUCUAGUGCAUGGACAGAUCUCCUGGACUCUGCUGCAUUUGCCUUUUGAGGUGAAUACUGUGAGAUAAUCCUAUAAAUUUGUGUGUCCCCUAGUAAAUUCCCUAGCACACCCUGACUAAAUACAUCAACCCUCAGCCAGAGAAAGGAGGGGCUGAG